GUCUCACCAAAUAAUAAUAAUUUAGAAAAGAAAAAAACUAAACACGUUCUCUUUCACAUACACUCAGAAAUACACCGCUAUCGAUAUAUCACGAAACACGAUCUUACAAAGAUUUCAAACUCAAUCUCGAUCUCGUCGAUUUCAAACUCAAUCUCGCCGAUCGCAAUCUCGAUCUCGCCGAUUUCUAACUCAAUCUCGCCGAUCGCAAUCUCGAUCUCGCCGAUUUCAAUCUCAAUCUCGCCGAUCGCAAUCUCGAUCUCGCCGAUUUCAAUCUCAAUCUCGCCGAUCGCAAUCUCGAUCUCGAUAUCAAUCUCAAUAUCGCCACUGAUCACGACCUAGAUCUGACUCUUGCUACCGAUUUGUAUGGUUUGUUUUCUCCGAUUUCGCUUUCCAAUCUGCGUCACCCACCGAUCUGCGUAAAGUCUCCUAUCUUCACUAUGUUUUUUGGUUGAUUCAUGUUUAUCAAUAUUUUUCGCUUAAUCCUAUUUAUCGACAUGGCUCGACAGCUAUUUUCAACAAUGCAUCUAUUUCUUCUAUAUGAUUUUGUUGGAAUUUAAUUAGGGUUUAACUUUAAUUGAUGUUAAUUAUAUUGUUGUUCAAUCAAAGAUUUCUGUAACGUUUGAGUGGGUAUGCGAUCAAAUCUUUGUUCACAUUGCUCAAUUCACAAGGCCAGACUACUCAUAUUGAUUAUCUCUACGCAUCAGAAAAUCUAUGAGUAUUUCCAUCGUCUUCCAUAUCAGUAUAUCAACUAUUUUUGUUAUUUCGACUAUACGUUAAUUUGAUUAAUACAACAAGUGAAACUACAAAUUAGGAAGGGAGGGAGUACACAUUAGACUCAUCAAAUACAUUAUAUAAAAUGACAAAAUUAGUUGACAACAAACGAGAGUUUGUUGCGUCAGUGUGUUGAAUGAAUAUGCUAUAAAUGGAUUUAGAAUGUUGUGUUGUUUACAAUUUUUUGCUUUUCUCAUUGACAUGUACAGAGUUCCAAUGGAUUUGAAGACUGAAUCACCAGAUCUAAAGUCCUAAAUAGCUUUCUCUUUGGAACAAACACUAAGAUUCACUUGGUUUUGGAAUAUUUGUCUUAAUUUGAUGCUGUUUUGAUAUUAGUUCUUUCUUUUUUUUAUUUUAUUUUGAUGAUAAUGCAUAAUGCUUUGGUUAUGUUUCAAUUUUAAAUCUCUGUUCAUGUUUGUAAUAUUAAUUCUUCCAGGUUUCCAUAUGAAGAUGCCUUUUUUAACUCAGUUUGAGCAUGUCCAAGUGACACUUUAAGCCGAAGAGGUGACAGAUAUACUAUGCGUAACAUUCCUCUACUUAAUUAUUUAUAACAACUCGACCGUGAUGUGAUACCAAGAUAUAUGAACAGUUGGCUUUGUAACUCGACCAACACCAGGUACUUUAUUAAGAGAUUAUUGGAUUAAAGCCUCUAAGAACUUGGUGUUGGCAAUCAUGGAAACACAAAAUACAGAGAGGAGUUGUAACUCAAACAACCUCAACUUCUUUAAUGAGAGAUUCUUAGAUUAAAGCUUGUAAAUAACUUGGUGUUGGCAAUUUUCAUGAGUGAAUUAUAGAAUACAAAAUGUAGGGUGAUAAUUAACAACAAUAUGUUCUAAAUUAAGGUGGGACCCUUCGAUGUUCAUGCAAAUUGUGGAGAUGGUGUCGUUCUAUUUGACUCCUCCAGCCAAUGAGUUCUCACCGAUGAAUGGUGUGUCACCCUCGAGUUACUCCAGCAUGGUUCUUCUUAUUACAUGUUUCAAGGAGGUUAAGCUGAACCAGCUAGUUUCAAGGAGGUGAAGCUGAACCAGCUAGGUGUGCGAGAUUCAGAUUAAUAUAUAUACAAUAUAAAGGUGCUGUCAGGAUCUAGAAGAAGGUGGAGAUCUUCAUACUCUUAUUUUUGGUAAAUAACACAUUUGUUAUAGCUGUCAUAAGAUCAAAAGGAUGAGACUUGACUUUAGUAGCUUAAGCUUUAGCCAACUAUGAUCCAAAAGGUAAAGAAUUUUCUUCUCCUCAAGAAAAUGUUGAGAAGACGGAGGCAAGGCGGUUUGACUAAUGUGUUUAUUGGGCAUGUUGCCAAUGUUGGAGCCAAUUCUUUCAUUGAUUCGAUCCAUGCCAAAAGCACCCAUGCAAAGUGAAGUACCUGAAGAAACUCAUGGAGAUAUAAGGUGAAAGAAUGUUUUCCAAUCUAUUUUGGAAACCGGAGUUAAUAUAGAACCUGAGAUGUGACUUCUGAAUUGGAAAUAAAAUAGAAUAUUAUUGUAAUGUAAAAUGUUUUAGUAUUGUUAAAUAUAUUAAAAAAUUGAUUUUAGAAUAUUAUUGUGAUGUUUAAUGUUUCAGUGUUGUUAAAUAUAUUAAAAAAUUAAUUUUUUUGGUUA
Molecule: long non-coding RNA, 2366 nt
Organism: Vicia villosa (hairy vetch)
Lineage: Eukaryota; Viridiplantae; Streptophyta; Magnoliopsida; Fabales; Fabaceae
Exons: 8
Source: RefSeq, a predicted model, not a curated record